Molecule: long non-coding RNA, 1666 nt
Organism: Daphnia carinata
Lineage: Eukaryota; Metazoa; Arthropoda; Branchiopoda; Diplostraca; Daphniidae
Exons: 6
Source: RefSeq, a predicted model, not a curated record
UUGCCCCAUCUAUUAUAUGAGGACAAAAGUUAGAAAAAAUCUCACGGAACAGGGUAAACUUAUGGAAAGAUUCAGCCUACCCUGACAACCUACCGCUCUCGUCAAUGAUGGUGCAUACAGGCUCGUAGGGGGCUAGUCGCUAGGUGGCCCAGGUGCUGUGCUGAGCUGAGCUGCUGAUGGCCACAUUUAUCAUGGCGUCGUAGCGGCUAGUUAUAUCACGGCAGCCGAACGUGGCAGACCUUUAUUUUUGUAGGUGAAAUCCAAGGGAGGAACUGCAAAUGCUCGGCGCCAUCUUGUACGAACGAUGUGGUCUGGCGGACACCUUACCAAGGUGACCAUGCAUUACCUUCGAGUGUAUUUAAGUUGCAAGUCGGUAGAUUUGCUCUGCAGUUUCCCGGAUACCAGCACCCUGCUUCGCGAGAACUACUCUACGUUGUUCUGGGGGGGCUUAGACGAACAUCUGAAUCCGAUUUUGAAGAAGUCUUGCAUCGAUGGACACUGACAAAAUAUAGGAAGCUGCACAUGAAUGUUGGGUAUUUUAUCAUAAGUAGAAUACAGAUAGAUUCUGUAGUAGUAGAUCUCUUUAGUUGGGUAUUGAAAUUGGCUUUGGUUUGUAUGGGGUCUGAUGAGGUCUCAGUUGCAUUUGAUCCUACUUGUUAUUUAUCACUGCCAAUGCCAGUCGAAAAGGAAGUACCAGUUGACCUGUAUCUGGCUAACAUGGACCUUUUAGCAGAAAUUUUUCUGCUUUCAAGGGAUUCAAAGAGUUUGCAGAAUAUUAUGUCUCUAGGAUUCCACAGUUUUAGGUAAUUCAAUUGACAAGAAAUUUACACUGAUUUUUGUUUUAUUUUUCUAAAGGCAGAUUCUUAAUUAUAAAGGAUUGGGAAAGAAAAUUGACGGAGGCUCAGUGCCAAAAAAAUUAUGGUAGUUGGAAUGAUUACCGAAGCUCUUCGGAUUCGUUUAUUUCACUCGUUAUGGUAUUUAAAGAAAAUAAACGUGUACCUGUGCCCCUUUGUAUCUGUGACCCGAUUUCCUCUUCACUUGCGAUAAUUCUGCAGCGGGUCAUGCAGAUACUGUGAUCAGCAGAAAAAGUUGGAAGUGCGCUGCCCGGAAAGCAAAUCUGGGGUAAAAGAAAAAAACUUAUUCCAACUAGUAAGCCAUUCCCAAAUUCAACCAACAAAAAGGAAAAGGUGGAAGGAAAAACUUCGUUCUCUGGUAGUGUUUUAGUUAAAAUCCUUUUUGUGCAAAUUCAUUUUUGAAAUUGUUUACCUCAUUUUCGAAUGGUUCCGUUCACAUUUGUUGUUCAUGUGAGAUUUUAUGUUUACCAGUUACUGCAUUAUAUUGACCACUAUUGCAAGAUGUUUGUUUAGGAAUAACUACUGUUUUGUUUAUCUGGAAUGUUGUGUGGGAGUCCAUCAGGAAUUGCUGGUCUGCAGUAAAUUUGUCAGGCUAGGUGAUGAAGAUCAAUGAAUCAGAAAAUGUUUUGCAUGGGUGGUGAAUGUUCUGACAGUUUUAACAGUUGUGAUGUGGUGUAUUUCACUUCCACGCAUCAUGGUGUUUUUAUCUAUCAGUUGAAUUGUAUGGUUAAUUUUCUGUUCGUGUAACCUCAUUUCCUCUUGAAUCAUAUAGUAGAAAUUGGUGACCUGAAACAAUGAACAUGGAAAAAUCA